Molecule: long non-coding RNA, 314 nt
Organism: Cercocebus atys (sooty mangabey)
Lineage: Eukaryota; Metazoa; Chordata; Mammalia; Primates; Cercopithecidae
Exons: 3
Source: RefSeq, a predicted model, not a curated record
ACAUGGUCUCCAGGCUGGUGCUGGAAAUUCUAGGGCUGGUGCGUGUGCUAAGAGAUUUUUACAAUCUUUAAAGAGCAGGGCGAAUGUUCAACCUGACAUCAGAAGAAUAACACAAGCACAAAGACACAUUCUUAACUGAAAAAAUGGUGGCAGGAGGUAACUGAGAUAAGACUUCAUUGGAAUCUCGCUAGUGCCCAUCAGUGCCAUUUUUCUGGUUCAAGAUCCAUUUCAGGCAAUCUGGCAAGAUGGCCGAAUAGGAACAGCUCCAGUCUGCAGCUCCCAGCAAGACCAACGCAGAAGGCGGGUGAUUUCUG